AGCGAACGCUGGCGGCAGGCUUAACACAUGCAAGUCGAGCGGGCGUAGCAAUACGUCAGCGGCAGACGGGUGAGUAACGCGUGGGAACAUACCUUUUGGUUCGGAACAACACAGGGAAACUUGUGCUAGUACCGGAUAAGCCCUUACGGGGAAAGAUUUAUCGCCGAAAGAUUGGCCCGCGUCUCGAUUAGCUAGUUGGUGAGGUAACGGCUCACCAAGGCGACGAUCAGUAGCNGGUCUGAGAGGAUGAUCAGCCACAUUGGGACUGAGACACGGCCCAAACUCCUACGGGAGGCAGCAGUGGGGAAUAUUGGACAAUGGCGAAAGACCUGAUCCAGCCAUGCCGCGUGAGUGAUGAAGGCCCUAGGGUUGUAAAGCUCUUUUGU
RNAcentral lists this ribosomal RNA (386 nucleotides) under uncultured bacterium. RNAcentral describes it as "bacterial SSU rRNA". It matches the Rfam family "Bacterial small subunit ribosomal RNA", at positions 29 to 439 of the family's 1533-position model. The record is from RNAcentral.